RNAcentral lists this ribosomal RNA (396 nucleotides) under Bacillus sp. (in: firmicutes). RNAcentral describes it as "bacterial SSU rRNA". It matches the Rfam family "Bacterial small subunit ribosomal RNA", at positions 595 to 989 of the family's 1533-position model. Lineage: Bacteria; Bacillati; Bacillota; Bacilli; Caryophanales; Bacillaceae. The record is from RNAcentral.
UGAAAGCCCCCGGCUCAACCGGGGAGGGUCAUUGGAAACUGGGGAACUUGAGUGCAGAAGAGGAGAGUGGAAUUCCACGUGUAGCGGUGAAAUGCGUAGAGAUGUGGAGGAACACCAGUGGCGAAGGCGACUCUCUGGUCUGUAACUGACGCUGAGGAGCGAAAGCGUGGGGAGCGAACAGGAUUAGAUACCCUGGUAGUCCACGCCGUAAACGAUGAGUGCUAAGUGUUAGGGGGUUUCCGCCCCUUAGUGCUGCAGCUAACGCAUUAAGCACUCCGCCUGGGGAGUACGGUCGCAAGACUGAAACUCAAAGGAAUUGACGGGGGNCCGCACAAGCGGUGGAGCAUGUGGUUUAAUUCGAAGCAACGCGAACAACCUUACCAGGUCUUGACAUCC